GAACGGGUGCGUAACACGUGAGCGACCUGCCUUUCCGCGGGGGGAUAGCCGGCCCAACGGCCGGGUAAUACCGCAUACGCUGCGUCUGGGGCAUCCCGGGCGUAGGAAACCUCCGGGGCGGAGAGAGGGGCUCGCGACCUAUCAGCUAGUUGGCGCGGUAACGGCGCACCAAGGCGACGACGGGUAGCUGGUCUGAGAGGAUGGCCAGCCACAUUGGGACUGAGAUACGGCCCAG
This 235-nucleotide ribosomal RNA is filed under the name uncultured bacterium. RNAcentral describes it as "partial 16S ribosomal RNA". It matches the Rfam family "Bacterial small subunit ribosomal RNA", at positions 100 to 334 of the family's 1533-position model. The record is from RNAcentral.